AAGUCCCCUCAUAUUAGCCUGGCCUAAACCUGCCACAUUCAAGCCAUCUGGAAUCCAGUCACUGCCACAUUGUCACGGCUGUUGCCCUGGUUCCAGGCACUUUAGCCACUUCAUUACGACAGGAGGCCUCCCUGUUUCCAAAAUCCAUCCUGCCAAUUCCUUCUGUUCCAGCAGCAGAAGAAGCCACAACGGUCUCCAACCUUCCAGCCAGGCAAUCCUCAGGAGGGUCCCACUGCCUGAAGACCACCCUGACACCUGUGGAAUUGGAUCUCUGCCAGUGCCUCCAGUUAUAAAAAAUAGGGGACCUCAAUGCUUAUUUGGUCUAUUUUUAUUAAAACCCCAUUAACUUGUUUCCAUCAGAGCAAUUAAAGUGUCGAGGCCUGAUACUGUAAUCGCUGUGGAGGAGGUGCCUUUUGUGAGUUCUCAUGCAGAGAACUUUCUUUUCAAAAGGACCCUGGGGGCUGAAGUAUCAGGUUUAUUCUCAGCCCCAAGUUUGAAGGCUUCUAACCUGCUGCAGUGAAUGUUAAUUCCUUUCACACCUUGCCUGGGGCACAUGGAGCCCGAGUGUGAAGUUUCACUGGCAGAGCUGUAGAGACGCAUUUCUACCUUUGCACCUUGCAAUCAGCUAAACCCACGUGACCCUGUCCUUGUCCUCAUUCCAAGCCAAGAUGGACUGCACUGCUGACCUGGGAACUGUUUUUGGAAAUUGGAAUAACUCCCCACAAGCGAGUGGCAGGAGAUAUUGACCAGUCAGGCCUG
Tupaia belangeri chinensis (Chinese tree shrew) is the source of this 759-nucleotide long non-coding RNA. RefSeq lists it as uncharacterized. NCBI's taxonomy places the organism in Eukaryota, Metazoa, Chordata, Mammalia, Scandentia, Tupaiidae. The record is from RefSeq and is a predicted model, not a curated record. The transcript has 4 exons.